Molecule: transfer RNA, 68 nt
Filed under: Urocitellus parryii (Arctic ground squirrel)
Lineage: Eukaryota; Metazoa; Chordata; Mammalia; Rodentia; Sciuridae
Also listed under: 1 other name
Description: Spermophilus parryii (Arctic ground squirrel) tRNA
Rfam family: tRNA
About the family: Transfer RNA (tRNA) molecules are approximately 80 nucleotides in length. Their secondary structure includes four short double-helical elements and three loops (D, anti-codon, and T loops).
Source: Rfam by way of RNAcentral
GGUGUAUAGCUCAGUGGUAGAGCCCUUGCCUAGCAUGCAUGAAGCCCUGGGUUUGAACCCCUGCACCA